Non-coding RNA from Dermacentor andersoni, 2575 nucleotides. The record is from RefSeq and is a predicted model, not a curated record. NCBI's taxonomy places the organism in Eukaryota, Metazoa, Arthropoda, Arachnida, Ixodida, Ixodidae.
UUAUUAGAAUGUGAAGACGUCUACCCAGCGGUCGAUUUAGGCACCACUGGCCUCCUUGAAGCCCUUGGGUUCAGCGGGAGCAGUGGUAAAGCAAACAGGUCCGCAAUAGACAUUAGUAAGAGGCGAUUGGAGGAUUGGUGGAAGAAAAGUAGGGAAACGACAAAAGACGGAGACGUACAAAAGCACAAUUCGCAAUGGGUGAUCAGAAAGUUUGGACGCGGUAGUUCAUAGUGUUUUUUUUCCUUUUUUCAUUGAUUAACCUAGGUAGGAUAUUAGGCAGCAUAGUAGCAAGAGCUUGGUGGCGCAACCCACCGCCCCGUUCCAAAGGGGACGCUCAUAACAUCCAUCCAUCCAUCCAUCGACGCGCCGCCUAUCCAGCGCUGGUUCCCCAUUGUACACAGAACACAAGGCACCCACCACCAUAGAGUUAGUAGAACAACUCUAGAGGAAAAGCUGGGCCGGAAAAGUGGGAACCUCUAGGGCGCCGCCCUGUUGCUACUGGUCAAUGUGGCCAGCGGAAAGAGCUGAAAACAAGUACAGGUCACCGUAUGCUUUGUCAUCUAAAAACGCAUACCUGAGGUUUUAUGAAGGUGGUGGGUUAAUAUUAAGUUUACAGAAAGCGAUCACUAAGUCCGUGACUUAUGUAAAUCACGAACUACGCAUUCAUUUAAUAAAGGAUGACGCGAAUUUCGGUUUCGAAUCUGUUUUUUGGAUUCGUAGUAGUUUCGUACAGUUUAGGUUUGACAUGCGAUCGCGCGUCGACAUCGGACGCUAUGGCACACUCGUGCCUUCUGUGCCACCGAAGCCCCGAAGUGCCCAGACAUAUACCUUCACAUGUAAGUAAACGAAUGUAUCUCCUUGUUGAGAAUAUCACGCGAGUAGGCAGCUCUUGUGGGGCAUCACAAUCGUUUGAGAAGCGUCACAGUAGAGCAUUUUUCUACAUGCGGAGCGGCGUUUUUAUUUGCAGGUUUCCCUUCAGUAGGAAAUUGCUGGACAGGCGGACCAGCGCACCGGAAUUGUACUGGCGAAGCCACAAGCAACUCAGAAUCUGUUUAAUUGUUGCACUUUGAACAAUCAUGCUUCUACAAAGGCCACAGCAGAAAAACAGCCUGAUGCCGAGUAUUUCUGUGCCACGAAGUAAUCAAGAGGCGAGUGCCUAAUGCGGACGAAAUCGAGUGCAUCGAGACUUAGAACGACAGAAAGAUAUGCAAUGGCAAGCCCUUCCGUGUGUUCCAAAGGUAAAAUUUAAGCUCGAAAUUAAAGAAGACAUUUCUAGUCAGAAACAAGCAAAAAUGGUGAAUGCAAAGUAUCAGAAGCCCAAGGUACAGAAAUUAUGAGAAGUGUCGAAUGAUUUUAAGGAAAGAAUGGUAUUUGAAGAUGCAAGAUUCUUUAGUGGAAAUCAAGCAAGUCAGUAUAGGUAGAAUACUCUGAGAAAUUAUGCGAGUAAUGGGAUAGCACACAAUGGGUCAGGAAAUGCGUUGUUUUUCUGAAAAACUAAAGCUGAUGACUGUCAUAUCAUGAGUCACUUUAGCAUCAUGAGACUGCUGUUUGAUAAAUUCAGAAACAAACCAAAAAGCAAGCCAUGCAAAAAUUUAAAAAAAAAACUAUUCAAUGAUGCUCUCUCCACACUGGGAUAAAUAAUAAGAAACGGAUCACGUCUAAUGUGGACAUAUCAGACACCUUGUGAAACACUAAAGGAAAAAUUCAGUUUCGAGCUAUGGCACUUGCCGCAUAGAUGUGGGGGGCCUUGUACCAAUAGUAAUAGUUACCACUGCAUCUAGAAAUUUGAAGCAUUCAUGCAGACAAGGAUGAUUCUUUAUAUUUUUGGCUACCACUUCAAAUGCCUCCACUAAGUGUUACAAUGCUGCACGCAGCCAUACUAAGGAUCUCACAGCAACACUUGCAGGUAAACAGCAAAAGCAGUCAAAGUGCUGGUGUAUUCUGGACACUGUCUUUGAAAACUUUUAGGCAAGAACAGUGCAAGAAACAGACAUAAGAACUGCAUUUAUUUCUAUAAUUCCCCAUUUGAAUGCCCUUUUCUUUUUCCUUCGACAAUGCCUUCGCCUAGCCACAGCAGCUCCCUCAUACAGACUCCGCAAGCCAAGAGGCCGUGGAGACAAAUGCAGGUAAGAGGCAAGAAGCAAUAGCACUGGUAUCGACAUUCAUCUAAUUUCUUUCUUUUUCUUUCGUUUAGACAGCCAGCACACCUCGAACAGCCACCUUGACUGCGGGUGUGUCACCCUAGUCGCCAAGGAAACAUUUGAGGGAAAGCAACAGGCAAUGUGAACAGCCACUUCUCCAUGUAAACGAUACUCUUUCUCUCGGAUGACUCCUACGUUCGCCACACCAGCACACUUGUGCACAAAGAUGCCGCGGAGGCACGUGCAGGUCAGAGGCAAGAAGCAGUGGCACUGGUGUCGACAUUCGCCCAAUUUCUUUUUCUUACACUGAGGCAGCCAGCACACCUCGAACAGCCACCUUAAGUGCGGGUGUGUUAGUAGAUUCCUGUUGUACAUAUGCUCAUAAUAAACUUCAGUAAACUUGAACUUGAUAAUAAACUUGAAGGCAAAUGGGA